RNAcentral lists this ribosomal RNA (459 nucleotides) under uncultured bacterium. Its description in RNAcentral is "partial 16S ribosomal RNA". It matches the Rfam family "Bacterial small subunit ribosomal RNA", at positions 338 to 795 of the family's 1533-position model. The record is from RNAcentral.
CCUACGGGGGGCAGCAGUGAGGAAUAUUGGUCAAUGGUCGGGAGACUGAACCAGCCAAGCCGCGUGAGGGAUGAAGGUACAGAGUAUCGUAAACCUCUUUUGUCAGGGAACAAAGGCGGGGACGUGUCCCCGGAUGAGUGUACCUGAAGAAAAAGCAUCGGCUAACUCCGUGCCAGCAGCCGCGGUAAUACGGAGGAUGGGAGCGUUAUCCGGAUUUAUUGGGUUUAAAGGGUGUGCAGGGGGUCUGUUAAGUCAGCGGUCAAAGCCCGGGGCUCAACCCCGGCCCGCCGUUGAAACUGGCAGUCGCGAGUUGGAGAGAAGUAUGCGGAAUGCGCGGUGUAGCGGUGAAAUGCAUAGAUAUCGCGCAGAACUCCGAUUGUGAAGGCAGCAUGCCGGCUCCACACUGACGCUGAGGCACGAAAGCGUGGGUAUCGAACAGGAUUAGAUACCCGAGUAGUC